CUUUUGAGCAGGUAACUCUUCUAUUGGGGCCAUAACUGAGGCAUAUUUUAAAUCAGAAAGGGAGAAUAUCGUUUUUAUUCUGAAUCUGAAUACUCCUUAAAAAUAAUAAUUCUUGGAUGGUAUUUUUGUAUUUAAUUCAUUUCAGUCUUUCCUGUGUGUUUAUUUUGUGUUCAGCCCUGCAUAGGUGAUAAAUUUGUAACCAUACCCCCUCUCUAGCCCAUCCCUCUUUAAUACCACCCUAGGACAAGACCAUGAAUAGUCCUGCCUUUCCUGGCCCCUCCAAUUCCUCCUUUCCCUGAGGUACAUACAGGCAUUGUGCAUACAGAAGUUACCUGUGUUUGUAAUUCACAAACCCCAAAGAGCAGUGAAGAAAAAAGGAAUGAAUCCUACAUGAUUACAAAGAAGGAGGGGACAAAGCUGGCUCCAGGUACUCAGUUAUUUCUGAGUAUUGCUCUGUGCCUGGCACUGUGCUGUACAUUGAGGAUAUGAAGAUGAGUAAGUCUCAGUCUAUAUCUUUAGAGACCUCACAGCCUGGAAGGAGAGUUAAAAAAUAAUUACUAUUCAACAUGGCAAUGGUUAUAAAGGAGCAGAUUUUCCAAACUGGUGUUUCAAGGAACAUUCUUUGGCAGGAUGUUAAAAAUGGGAAACAGCAAGCCUGAAAAAGGAAAUUGACGAAGAAACAACUUGGUUAUUCUUGACUCAGUGGCCAAGGAGGGAACACAGCCCAGAAUCUAAAAGUGACGCAGUUGGCAGAGCUGUGUGGUGCGGUGCUGGUUCCCAGGAACACAGCAAGAGGCACUUUACUGAGGGAACGCUGCGUGCCUGCAACUCUGCGUGGGAGACUUCAGCCACAAGUGGGUUUUUGUCUGUGUGUAAGUGCCAUUGAGUGAACCCAAGAAGGGAACAAACAAACCAGCCCUGAAUCUUUCUAGCACAUCUUCAGCUUUGCUCUCUUAUAUAUAGGAAAUUAGGGACAGUGCUUGGAGAACCUGCAGGAAAACUAAUCUAAAAGCCAGUCC
This 1019-nucleotide long non-coding RNA is filed under the name Pan paniscus (pygmy chimpanzee). Its description in RNAcentral is "lncRNA (ENSPPAG00000044671.1)". The record is from RNAcentral. Lineage: Eukaryota; Metazoa; Chordata; Mammalia; Primates; Hominidae.